GAUGAACGCUGGCGGCGUGCCUAAUACAUGCAAGUCGAGCGAACGGACGAGAAGCUUGCUCUUCUGACGUUAGCGGCGGACGGGUGAGUAACACGUGGAUAACCUACCUAUAAGACUGGGAUAACUUCGGAAACCGGGGCUAAAACCGGAAAAUAUUCUUAACCCCAGGGUUUAAAUGGGAAAGACGGGCUUGCUGGUACCUAUAGAUGGAUCCGCGCCGCAUUAGCUAGUUGGUAAGGUAACGGCUUACCAAGGCAACGAAGCGUAGCCCACCUGAGAGGGUGAUCGGCCACACUGGAACUGAGACACGGUCCAGACUCCUACGGGAGGCAGCAGUAGGGAAUCUUCCGCAAUGGGCGAAAGCCUGACGGAGCAACGCCGCGUGAGUGAUGAAGGUCUUCGGAUCGUAAAACUCUGUUAUUAGGGAAGAACAUAUGUGUAAGUAACUGUGCACGUCUUGACGGUACCUAAUCAGAAAGCCACGGCUAACUACGUG
RNAcentral lists this ribosomal RNA (496 nucleotides) under uncultured bacterium. RNAcentral describes it as "partial 16S ribosomal RNA". It matches the Rfam family "Bacterial small subunit ribosomal RNA", at positions 28 to 507 of the family's 1533-position model. The record is from RNAcentral.